GCCGAAGUGGCGGAAUGGCAGACGCACGUGACUCAAAAUCACGCGUCCUCUGGGCGUGUGGGUUCGACUCCCACCUUCGGCACCA
This 85-nucleotide transfer RNA is filed under the name Bacillota bacterium. Its description in RNAcentral is "Firmicutes bacterium (anaerobic digester metagenome) tRNA-Leu". It matches the Rfam family "tRNA". From Rfam's summary of the family: Transfer RNA (tRNA) molecules are approximately 80 nucleotides in length. Lineage: Bacteria; Bacillati; Bacillota. The record is from RNAcentral.